UUUCACCUAGAAUCAACACCCAGAUUUAAUUGCAAAUGUUGUGAAAAAUGUCAAGUGAAAAAUAAAUACGCUUGCUUAAAAUGUUUAAGGAUUAAUUACAGGAACACUAAACAUUGAUAUCAACAGUUUCGGUGUGAAAGGGAUAUUUUUCAAACGAGCGGGGUUGGUCAAAAAUCUAAUGACCCACUUCAAAUUACAUUGAGUUUUGUCCACCAAAUUGUGUCUGUGAUCUAGUUAAACAGUGCACCUUUAUGUCACGUGUGCAGUUAAAGGUGGAUUGUUCUACCAGAUCCAGACAUGCAAUGAAGUUGGAUUUUGCCAGAAAUGAAGUGUAAUUUUCAUGAAAUCCAGAACCUUCAUUGCACUUAAGAAAUGAUGCAUGGUGAUUUAUUCCCCGAGUAGAAAAACAUUACAGCUGUUAUUCGACGCCAAGGUGAGAGGGACAAAUUUAAAGGCGAUGUGUGGGAUUAUUUUUUAAAGUGGGUGGUGAGUACCUUGUGCAGCCAGGGGUGGUGGUUGAGGCAGAUGCGGUAGAAGCAUUUAAGAAGCUUUUGGAUAGGCAUAUCAAUAUGCCAGGAAUGGAGGGAUCUGUGCAGGUAGAUAAGGGAUGGUCUUGGUAUCAUGUUCGGCAAACAUCGCGGGCCAAAGGGCUUGUUCUUGUGCUGUACUAUUCAAUGUUAUACCAUAGAAAACAAUGUAUACUAUAUAGUAGUAUCAAUUAUUGGAAUUUAAGAAUAUUGAAACCAGAUCAUUAAUGCAUCCCUUGAACUGAUUUUUAUCCAGAUGAACCAAUUCUUUCUACAUUAUUCUGAAAUGCUUACCAUGUACCAUGUUUGAAAUACAUUAGUGACUUAAUUAAGCACUGCUUGGCUAUUUUUCAUUUUAGGAAAGGACUGGUUUAACUUUUGUGUAAAAAUCAACAAUUGUUUAUUAUGCAUUUAGAUGUUAUAAGAUUUAUUUUGUUACUGCUUACCUAUUUGGGCAAUACUCAAGGUUGUUAGUAGCUGUUUCCUAAAUCAGAAGGUUGCACAAAGUUGCAAGCGAUCAUUCUUAAGCCAAAUUGGGAUUGUAAAUUGGGAAUAAGAGGAUGGCUGAGGAACAGAUUACACACAGUGAAGCAUUUGUCAAUGACAGUGACACCAGAGGUAUGUGGCCCAUAGGAUUCUGUUGCUCAUUUUAUACAAUGUGCCAUUUUCUGAAACACUAUGUCCCAUAUUAAUAUUUUUAGUAAAACAAUAGUCUAGUUAAACAAAAAAACUAAUUCUGUCUAAACGUAUUAAUUAGAAAAUUGAAGAUUACUUAGGUGGACAGAAAGAUUAAGUGUACAUUUACUGAGCUGCUAGCUUUAAAAGGCAGGGUAAGAGUUAGUUAGGAACAUGCUUUUCCAUAUUAUUUAAAAUACUUACUGAAAAUUUGUUUAUACAUUGCAAAUAAAACAAGCAAAUAUAUAAACAGUGAAAGGUGCGUAUUAUCAAUUAAUUUGAUUCUGUCCAUCUCAUUUAAAAGUAGUUUAGGAUUUUUUUCCUAAUUUAAUGCAUCUGAGAUACACCAGUGGCAAUUCUGAAAUUCUUGAAGUGCAAUGCAUUUUUGUUAAUGACCAACUCAGCACUUAGCCUGAUGUUAAUGCCUUGAGAAAUAAAAUACAUUUUUACAUAGAAUUUCAUGUGUAAGCCUUGAACUUGAUUGUUUGGUACAAUGUAGUAAUAGGCCCUUAACUCUGCUGAACAAUACCAAUCUGUACCAUAACAAUACCAUUAACACUAUCAAUACCAAAUCCCAUGACAAUGUGAAUAUUUAUUUUAGUAUACAGAAAUCAAGUUAUAAAACCGAUUUUGCUUGAUUAUACAGCAUACACUGACUUUUAAUGGAAAUAAAGAAAAUGCUUGAUCUACACAAGGUCAGGUAGUAUGUGGAAAAAGGAACAGAGACAAUUUGAUAACCGUUUGAUAACCGAUCAUGAAAUUGAAAUGUUAAUCGUUUUUCUCUCCACGGAUGUUACCUGACCCAAGUAUUUCCAGCAUUUUGUGUUUUCAUUUUUCAUCUGUAGUUUUUACUUUUUGAUUACACACUGAUGUUGGCACAAAUUAUUGACAUUGUCUGACAGCAGAAAAAGAACAGCUGAAAUAAUUUGUGUUAAUGUGAACAAACUUCAGAAUUCUCGACCUGAAACGUCACCUACUCCUUUUCUCCAUAGAUGCUGCCUGACUGAGUUUCUCCAGCAUUUUUUGUCUACCAGAAUUAUUCAAAGCAUUUCUCUUGCAACAAUAUACUGAGAAAGGAUACAACCAUAUGUUCCAAUAGUAAUUGUGAAAAAUUGAUUAUUAUCUAUUUUACAUGAAUUCUCUGAGAAUUUACUGAAUAACUUUAAUUUCUGGCAGAAUGAAGGUAACAAUUGUACCUUCAAAUCCACCUGGAAAUGGAGAGGAGUAGCAAUAAGCAAAUAUAGAUGCUUUUUAUCAAUCAUUCUAUCAUAGAAACAUAGAAAUUAGGUGCAGGAGUAGGCCAUUCGCGACCAUACUCACGACCAUACAGGUUUCACCCCUCGACAUGUCGCCAGGAUGUUGCCUGUAUGGUCGUGAAUAGUCUCCUUGUCACCCAAAGAUGCUUUUUAUCAAUCAUUCUAUCAUAAAAUGGCCACAUUUUCCAAUUUUGUGGCGGGGAUUAGCCUUUCCAAAUAGAAGACCACCUUGUUAAGACAAUUAAAUGGUGGUUGUAAACUGACAUUUAAAUUAGUAAGACUUUUUCUAUUGGAGUGUUAAGCUGCUGUUGAGACUCGGAGAUGUACACUUUAGGGUUCCUCCAAAAACCGGUUCCCUUUAACAAACAUGCCUUGGCGAAUGUAACCAAAUCCAGAUUUCAGUUUCAAAAAGUCUUAAUACUUCAGCAAUGUCCUGACUUUUUUCAUUUUUAUUUAAUAUGCUGUUUUUAGUAAAUCAAAUAUUCUUUCCGAAA
Molecule: long non-coding RNA, 2952 nt
Organism: Leucoraja erinaceus (little skate)
Lineage: Eukaryota; Metazoa; Chordata; Chondrichthyes; Rajiformes; Rajidae
Exons: 2
Source: RefSeq, a predicted model, not a curated record